Molecule: ribosomal RNA, 253 nt
Filed under: uncultured bacterium
Lineage: Bacteria
Description: partial 16S ribosomal RNA
Rfam family: Bacterial small subunit ribosomal RNA
Source: RNAcentral
UACAGAGGUCUCAAGCGUUGUUCGGAUUUACUGGGCGUAAAGGGCGCGUAGGCGGCGUGUUAAGUCACUUGUGAAAUCUCUAAGCUUAACUUAGAACGGUCAAGUGAUACUGAUGUGCUAGAGUGCAGAAGGGGCAACCGGAAUUCUUGGUGUAGCGGUGAAAUGCGUAGAUAUCAAGAGGAACACCUGAGGUGAAGACGGGUUGCUGGGCUGACACUGACGCUGAGGCGCGAAAGCUAGGGUAGCAAACGGG